AGCAAACGCCAUGGAACCAGCCGCCAGAUCAGACAUGCUGAAUCUUUCCUGGCAAAUCCUGGAAUAACUCAGAGUGUGGACACUAGAAGACCAGGAUCAUGGUGGGGGGCACAUCUUGGAGGCUGGCUGCCACAGGCAACACAUUUCAAGAUGCCUAUCAAAGCAUCCCAAGAGCACUGGAGAAUGGAGUGACAUCCGUACGGGUAGGAGGGGAUCAUCUAUCAUCAAAGUGGCAGCCAGAAAUGAAAAAAAAGCAGACAGAUAGACCCUACAGGCAACUGCAUCCAGGGACAGACUUGCGUGGCAGCUGGCAACCACUGUCAGAGGUCAGAUGCCCAAUGAAGAUCCUACUGGAACGAGCAGUGACAACAGGACUGCUCCAGAUGGAGAUCAUGGCAGCCCAGAGUGCCAAAGUGACCAGAUCACCACUGCAGCAGACGGAAAGGGUGGCCUGUCUUGUGAGACCCUCCCAUGGCUCAUUGCCCACUUCUCUUCGACCUGUGGCAGGAAGGGUAACAGAGCAUCUGCCUCAAAUGAGACCUCUCCCUUCCAGGUUUGAAAGCUGUUUCCUGAUUGGUUCCAGUCUGCACCUCUGUGUAUACAUACAGCCAAUCAGGGCUCAUCUGGCUCUGUAUAACAGGUUGCUCAAAGGCUUUUCACAGUUCAGGUAGCUAAAGGUGGGGGCGAGGCUGUUUAGGUACUCUGGGAAGGAAGAAGACGCAAGACUUACUGGACGGGCGUGAGAGAUGGCUCAGCAGUUAAGGCCAUCAGCAGCUCUACAUAGGACCUGGGUUCAGCUUCCAGCACCCUCAUGGCAGCUCACAACAAUCUGUAACUCUAAACCUAGGGGUUCCAACAACCUCUUCUGGCCUCCAAGGGCACGAGGCAUGUAUGUGGUCAAAAACAGCUACGCAUAUAACAUAUAAAAAUUAAAAACAAACAAAUAAAUAGAUGUUGAAGACUUUCCAGAGAAAGGUCCCAUGAAAAAGCCAAGAUCUAUAGUGUCCACUGCAAGAAUGGACGGAUUGCCCAGUCUUUGGGACCUGCAGAGAUGGGAAACUCAUACUCUACUCUCUGCAGACCUGCACACUGGCUCUUAGGAGCUGUCCUUGGCUGGGCAUCUUGAAGCCAGCUGAGAACACUACCAACCUCUCUCUAUUGGUUGAUACUCUGUAUCCACUCUCCUGCUUGAGACCUCAGGCUCCUGUUUAAACUCUUCCUAUGCAGCAAUCAAAAGGUUCCCCUUCCCGUUUCCCUUUCACUGCCAGCCACGCCAUUGUUGAAGUAAGGGCCAGGCUAGGACCUGGUUGGAGAAUCGGCUGUCUCAAGGUGUGAGAUGGAGUAGGAGGAAUCUCCAAAAGCAAUCACAGCCAGUGGCCACAGUAGGAUAGCCUCUAGAAGGAAGCAAGAAAGUCUCUGACUGGUCAGGAACAGGUGCAAAAAUCCCGGAUGCACACUGUUGCUUUAUAUCCACCCCUAGGCUCGACAGCCAAAUGCCCACAUCCCUGUAACUGCCACAUCACCAAGGGACAUAAAGCUAUUGUUCUGUUUGAGAAUCCACCCCAAUUAUAAAUGACUUUCGCUUUUCUAGAGGCUGACAAGUUCUUUCCUGAUUGGUCCGUAUUCUUCUUCCCUUUUGUUUGCAUACACAGAUCUAACCAACCAGAGACCUUAGAACUUUUAUGAACCCAUGGACAGUGCAAGCACAUUGGUUACUCUGGCUCGUGGACAGGCUCAGACUUUAGCCAGAUGGGGAGAGCGGGGAUUCUCUGAUUUUCAGACCUUGAUGGCCCUCUCAUUAGACAAGGAAAAUGGAAAGACCCACUAGAAACAGACCGGCCUGAGAUCUGUCAUUCCAGCUGCAGAUAGGGGACCCACUCCUGCUCGCCGGACUUGUUCUUCAAGGACUAUUCUCUCGGUUGCAUCCCCAGGUCUCCUGAGCGCUUCGAACUAUAGCGCUGUCCAGUUCUUUGACUGUUGGGACUCCCAAGAGCCCAGAGCUUCUACUCUCCCACUCCUGUGGCCCUUCCCACAUGGCGACCUUCUGUUUUCCAGUUUGAACUGUUCUCUUCCGUGAAUGAAAAACCCUCCUUUUUUUUUUUUCACCUUUAACUCUUUACCGACUUCAUCCUUGUAGAGAGCAAGACAGGAAGGAAGCCAAGCAGAAACAGAGAAUCAACAGGGUGUGGCCUGGGGGAGGGGGUGGAUCUGGCACCAAAGACCUAAACUAGCUCUCCAGCUUGUUGGCUCCUGAUUUGUCCUUUUGAACUCUUUGAUUAACAAUCGCUGCCUUAUCCCUUUCGCCCAAAUCAUUAAGUAAAUGUGAAGUUCUCACAGCCCUGAGGCAGCUACUCCCAGCUGGAUAACUGGGGCUAGGAACAUGUUCAGGGGCUAGCUGGAAGAUUCAGAGAGGCCAAGGUGACAGCUGUUUUCUGAAGAAUCUGCAACUGAAGUAAGAAGCUCAAGUAUGUGUGUCAAGUAUUGUAUGUAGCUGGACUUGCAUGUAUGAGUCCUCCAUGUCAGCGGAGACCUCAAGCCUGAGAAUGUCUCAUGGAUGUGCAGCUCCCCUGCACCCUGAGGAAGGGACUGGAUCACGUUUGCAGAAUGUGCUAAGGCUUAUGAAACCAGACCUUGCUUGUUACGUAUUUUUCCUUAGCUGAUAAACCUCUCCACCAUGCAAUAAUGGUUUGAUCUGAUCAAACCAGAUCAGACCGAAUUAGAAGACACCCAGGUUUAAGGGAUGGCAACACUCCCAGGUGUCUCCCGCCACCACCACCAUGAC
This is a long non-coding RNA of Myodes glareolus (Bank vole), 2782 nucleotides long. RefSeq lists it as uncharacterized. NCBI's taxonomy places the organism in Eukaryota, Metazoa, Chordata, Mammalia, Rodentia, Cricetidae. The record is from RefSeq and is a predicted model, not a curated record.